CGGUGCUGGUCUGCGACCCCGGCGGCGGUGGCCGGGGGCAGACCCUGACUUGCUGGACCUUGGUUUGUGUGUCUGCGACGUGAGUGGAUUCAACAGAUCGUCUCCUGAGGUCACCCCUGGUUUUAGCUUUCGGGUCGUUUGUGACUGCCGAGGCCAAGGGGAAGGGAGGCCGAUGGGGGAGAAGGGACACGAGACAGGAGGAGAGGGUGAGUGAGGAGGGGAUCCCGGGGCGGGGGUGGGGGGGUGCAGCGUGGCGUGUGCCCCCCACCCCCACCACCACCUCCUGGACGUGCUUGUUAAAUGACGGCGCCACAGCUGAGCAGGGAGCCCUCAGCCACGCAUCUCAAGACAGAGGAGUCUCGGCAUUUAUUUCAAAGACGGAGCCAGCACUUUCUAAGGAUGGCAGUGACCUAAUCCAUCCUCAUGACACUGUGACAUCAGUGCUGAGAAGACCCCAGUCUCCCUGGCACAUGCCCCCUGCGGCUUAGAGAGGUCAGGUCUCUGUCCAGCGGGAAGGCAGAAACGCCAAGGUUCAAUCCGACGUCUGCUUUAUUGUGAAUCCCGUGCUUUUCGCCCCUGGCCGCCGGCUGCGACCCGACACCCUUACGGAGGAGGAGGGCUCCUUUUGCCCUCGGGCUCAGCAGCAUGGUCCACUUCUCCGCCUCCCCUUCAUCCUGGUAUUUUUUAUUCUCCAUCCUUUGGAACCAGCACCGCGGUCAUAAAGGAAAGCAGAAGGGAGGGCGGGCGUUGAGAAGCCUCCCUCCUGCCCGCCUGGAACCACACUCCCCAGCCCUGCUUCCUGGUGCCUCUGGGCUCCUUUCUCUUUGCAAAAACAGGAACUUAGAAAUGCGUGUUCUUGUUUCCUACUUUCUUACCCCAAAGUUGGCACACCAAAUUAGACCAUACUUUGCACUUACUCUGUCAUUACUCAGCGAUGUGUCCGGAAAAUACUGUGAUUUUAGUUCCCAGGGAGCUUCCUCGUUCCUUCUCACAGGGACAGGCGGUUCCACCGGGUUGGGUAAGUCAUCGGUUUACUUAGCCAGGUCCUCGGAUCCGGCCACUAGGCGGUUUCCAUGUGUUUCAGAACCACAGACAACGCCUUCUGGGAGUCACCUUGCAGAGGUCCGUGCCCACCCGUCAGCUGUAGCCCCAGGAGCGGGUCACUGAGGCAGGGGAAAGUCCAUCUGACACCUUGCUGGCCGUGACGCUCGUAUGGGCAGUUGAGUAGACCCAUCGAGAAAGGAGAACAGUGUUGGCCUCCCUGGCUCCCGGGCAACAGAGUGUUUUGUCGAACUUUUGUCUUUUUUCCAGUCUGAUCGAGGAAAACUUGUAUCCUUGUGUAGUUUUACUGCUCGUGUCUCUGACUGUGACGCUUGCGUGUCUUUUGGACCGCAUGUAUUUCUUAUUCUGUGAACCGCCCAUGACCUCGGCCCAUUUUUCUGUCGGUCCUGUGGUCUUUCUUGCUUUCAUCUCUGAGAGCUCUUCAUAUAUUUUGGAGAAAAACACUUUUCUGUGUCGUGAGGUACAAAUAUUUCCCCUAGUUUUUGCCCUUUUUCCCCACUCUGUGUUGUGCUUUGGUUUUGGCUUCUCUGUGGACACUGCUGUUGUUUACAUUUGCAAUUAUUAAUCUCUGCUUUUUGGCUGCUGGAUUUUGAGACAUGGUUUGACAUGUCAAUCGACUCUGAUGUUAUUCUGUCAAAGUUCCAACAGGAAUGACACGGCACACUCAAAUUAGGGUGAUUUUAAGGCGGGGGUUACGUACAAAGGGACUACUGACAAGGGCCUGGGCAAGUUUUAGGGGCGUCCCAGGGGCAGUGCGAGAAUGGGGGCCCAGCAGCAACCGAGAUGCAUCACCCCUGGGCCCCUGGGGAUGAGGGGACAGAGGAGUUAUGCAGCCUGGAAGGAGAGAGCUGUGUAGGCCAAGCCUCCUAGAGAGGGGCCCUCGUCUGCGGAGGAAACCAGGAACGGAACACCCUGCCCUCACGUCCCUGCUUCCCUCCUGUCUGGUCGUGGCUGUUGGGAGAAGCCUGCUGGCAGCGUCCAUGUGGGCAGCCGUCCAGGGCACAGAAUGAGGGAAUGCCUCCAUGGAGGGAAUGGAUGGGCCACCCCCCAUUUCCUGCCCUGCUGCCUGCACCCCUCAAUCAGUUUUCCCAGGGGACCUGCCGGAGUAGAUCACAUGCACACAGCCCUGGCCUCGGGCCCUGCUUCUGGGAAGCCUGACGUGAGAUGACCACUAACACAGUCCAAGAAAUGACCGAACGCGGGAGAAACCUACCCUCAGGACUUAGAGGCCAUCCACGCAUCUGAGCCUCCCGGGAGCCUCCAGCUGACCCUGCUUCCCGGGGGGAAGGAGGAGGGCUUUCUGCUGCGCCCUCUGAAGAGCGACCAGGAAGGGCAGAGGGGGCCGGGAUGGAGAGGGGCACGCCUGGCGGAGGUUCUGGUCCCUGACCCGUGUGCUGAGCCUCAGACGGUGGAGCCAGACGCGACGGUGACGCUCCGUGACCAUGUGGGACACGUCACAGCUGGGUGUCUGGCGCGUCCUGGCAAUGGCCUGUCUCUGCAGGUCUGAGAAGCACCACAACGUUCUUUACAAGGUUGACACGGGAGCUGGGCCCUCGCACGUCAGCCCCGUCCUCCCUGCAUCUUAAGUCUGAGCUCUGAUGGGACUUCUGUACCAAGAGCGAAUUAACAGGGUAAAUGAUGUUCAACUAAAGAGUUCAACCAGCACACUGUGAUGUAGCCGAGCUUGUGUCCGAGCAGAGGACCAUCCACACAGGGGGUCACAGUGGAACAGCCAGGCCUGCUGAGGGAAGUUCCCCGCUCCCCAUCGUCCCCCCUCUCUUCCCAUCCCCCUCCCUCCCCUCCCCAUUCCCCUCCCUCCCCCUCCCUCCCCACUG
This is a long non-coding RNA of Aethalodelphis obliquidens (Pacific white-sided dolphin), 2897 nucleotides long. RefSeq lists it as uncharacterized. The transcript has 5 exons. The record is from RefSeq and is a predicted model, not a curated record. NCBI's taxonomy places the organism in Eukaryota, Metazoa, Chordata, Mammalia, Artiodactyla, Delphinidae.